UGUUUGGAAAAGUGACUACUUUGC
This 24-nucleotide non-coding RNA is filed under the name Arabidopsis thaliana (thale cress). Lineage: Eukaryota; Viridiplantae; Streptophyta; Magnoliopsida; Brassicales; Brassicaceae. The record is from RNAcentral.